AAGUCGUAACAAGGUAACCGUAGGUGAACCUGCGGUUGGAUCAUUACUGAUUACUACUGCCUUAAGCGUCGAGUCUCUCAGACUCCGUUUUAGCAGUUUUUCACACUUUGUGCACUGAAAUUGUAUUUUGGGCUGUUAUUUUAGCAGUCCAGCAUUUUAAACCCUUUAAAUUUACUCUGAAUUUUUUAUAUUAAAAAAUAACAACUUUUGACAGCGGAUCUCUUGGUUCUC
Molecule: unclassified non-coding RNA, 231 nt
Filed under: fungal sp.
Lineage: Eukaryota; Fungi
Description: partial internal transcribed spacer region
Rfam family: Eukaryotic small subunit ribosomal RNA (bases 1-46)
Source: RNAcentral